This is a long non-coding RNA of Oncorhynchus keta (chum salmon), 1350 nucleotides long. RefSeq lists it as uncharacterized. The record is from RefSeq and is a predicted model, not a curated record. NCBI's taxonomy places the organism in Eukaryota, Metazoa, Chordata, Actinopteri, Salmoniformes, Salmonidae. The transcript has 9 exons.
CAGAACACACACACACACACAUACACACACCCACCCCUCAGGUAAGACAGAACACACACACAUACACACACCCACCCCUCAGGUGAGACAGAACACACACACAUACACACACCCACCCCUCAGGUAAGACAGAACACACACACACAUACCCCUCAGGUAAGACAGAACACACACACAUACACACACCCACCCCUCAGGUGAGACAGAACACACACACACACACCCCUCAGGUGAGACAGAACACACACACACAUACCCCUCAGGUGAGACAGAACACACACAUACCCCUCAGGUGAGACAGAACACACACACAUACCCCUCAGGUGAGACAGAACACACACACACACACACCCCUCAGGUGAGACAGAACACACACACACCCCCCAGGUGAGACAGAACACACACAUACCCCUCAGGUGAGACAGAACACACACACACAUACCCCUCAGGUGAGACAGAACACACAGGCCGCUUCCCAAAUGGCUCAUAGGUCUCUGUUGUAAAGUAGUGCACUAUAAAGGGAAUAAGAUGUUAUUUGGGAUGUUGUGAUAUAUAGGUCAUAUCUAAAGGUACUGUACUACUGUAUCCAGGCAGGGACAAGGUUACACUGGGAUGUUGUGAUAUAUAGGUCAUAUCUAAAGGUACUGUACUACUGUAUCCAGGCAGGGACAAGGUUACACUGGGAUGUUGUGAUAUAUAGGUCAUAUCUAAAGGUACUGUACUACUGUAUCCAGGCAGGGACAAGGUUACACUGGGAUGUUGUGAUAUAUAGGUCAUAUCUAAAGGUACUGUACUACUGUAUCCAGGCAGGGACAAGGUUACACUGGGAUGUUGUGAUAUAUAGGUCAUAUCUAAAGGUACUGUACUACUGUAUCCAGGCAGGACAAGGUUACACUGGGAUGUUGUGAUAUAUAGGUCAUAUCUAAAGGUACUGUACUACUGUAUCCAGGCAGGGACAAGGUUACACUGGGAUGUUGUGAUAUAUAGGUCAUAUCUAAAGGUACUGUACUACUGUAUCCAGGCAGGGACAAGGUUACACUGGGAUGUUGUGAUAUAUAGGUCAUAUCUAAAGGUACUGUACUACUGUAUCCAGGCAGGGACAAGGUUACACUGGGAUGUUGUGAUAUAUAGGUCAUAUCUAAAGGUACUGUACUACUGUAUCCAGGCAGGGACAAGGUUACACUGGGAUGUUGUGAUAUAUAGGUCAUAUCUAAAGGUACUGUACUACUGUAUCCAGGCAGGGACAAGGUUACACUGGGAUGUUGUGAUAUAUAGGUCAUAUCUAAAGGUACUGUACUACUGUAUCCAGGCAGGGACAAGGUUACACUGGGAUGUUGUGUUUUAAUGAAG